AUAAAAAGAGAUUCCUUGCGAUCCUCUCUCGUGAUGGAUGCUGUUAUCAGAAACGAUAUUUAAUUUCGAUCGUUAAAAAAUUCCGCUAGAUUCUAUGAUUCGUCUUCAACUUAUAUUCCAAGUUGUACGAUCUAUUGUUUAUCGGCUUAAUUCGUUAAUAAAACUUGGUUGGUUCCGUUUCGCGUGUACUCUCGUUUCGCAAUAUAUAGUAUAAAUAUCUCCUUCUCUCU
Molecule: long non-coding RNA, 230 nt
Organism: Apis dorsata (giant honeybee)
Lineage: Eukaryota; Metazoa; Arthropoda; Insecta; Hymenoptera; Apidae
Exons: 3
Source: RefSeq, a predicted model, not a curated record